AUGAAGCAAGACAUUGCUCGUUAUGUUGCUGAAUGUGACGUUUGCCGUCGUAUCAAAGCAGAACAUCAAAGGCCUGCUGGAACUCUGCAACCUAUCUCUAUUCCUGAAUGGAAAUGGGACCAUGUUGAGAUGGACUUCGUCACUGGAUUUCCCAAAUCACAGAAAGGUAAUGAUGCUAUUCUUGUCGUCAUUGACCGGCUUUCCAAAGUUGCACAUUUUCUGGCGGUCAAAGAAACGAUAACCGCUAGCCAGUUGGCAACGCUCUAUAUGUCCAGGAUUGUUUCACUCCACGGUAUUCCAUUAGUUAUCAGCUCAGACCGUGGAAGCUUAUUCACUUCAAGAUUCCGGGCAAGUUUCCAAGAAGCUAUGGGAACUCAUCUGUCAUUCAGUACUGCGUUUCAUCCUCAAUCGCAAGGGCAGGUUGAACGCGUCAACCAAGUUCUCGAAGACAUGCUUCGAGCUUGUGUUAUUUCCUUCGGCAAGAAAUGGGAGGAAUCUCUCCCGUAUGCUGAGUUCUCUUAUAAUAAUAGCUAUCAAGCUAGUCUGAAGAUGGCCCCCUUCGAAGUGUUAUAUGGACGAAAGUGCCGAACCCCUCUGAACUGGUCAGAAACUGGGGAACGUCCACUCUUCGGUCCGGAUAUUAUCCAACAUGCCGAAGAACAAGUCCGCAUUAUUUGUGAGAAUCUCAAGACUGCUCAGUCACGUCAGAAGAGUCAGUAUGACCGUCAUCAUAAAGACAUGGUCUAUCAACCUGGCGAAAAGGCUUAUCUUCGAGUCACACCUAUGAAGGGUGCUCACCGCUUCGGGAUCAAGGGCAAACUAGCUCCUCGCUAUAUUGGCCCAUUCACUAUUCUCGAAAGGCGUGGAAAAGUGGCAUACCAACUGGAGCUACCGCCGAACCUUUCUCAGGUUCACGAUGUGUUCCAUGUGUCACAGCUCCGCCGUUGCUUCAAGGACCCAAUCCGAGCUGUGGAUCAUGAAGUGCUCGAAUUGUAG
RNAcentral lists this ribosomal RNA (996 nucleotides) under Triticum aestivum (bread wheat). RNAcentral describes it as "partial small subunit ribosomal RNA". Lineage: Eukaryota; Viridiplantae; Streptophyta; Magnoliopsida; Poales; Poaceae. The record is from RNAcentral.